ACUUUAGUGCCAGAUAAUUGGGGCUUAUUGAUGUUAAGUUUAUGAUGUAAAGUA
RNAcentral lists this transfer RNA (54 nucleotides) under Echinorhynchus truttae. RNAcentral's name for it is "transfer RNA-Ile". The record is from RNAcentral. Lineage: Eukaryota; Metazoa; Acanthocephala; Palaeacanthocephala; Echinorhynchida; Echinorhynchidae.